RNAcentral lists this unclassified non-coding RNA (1553 nucleotides) under Hevea brasiliensis (rubber tree). The record is from RNAcentral. Lineage: Eukaryota; Viridiplantae; Streptophyta; Magnoliopsida; Malpighiales; Euphorbiaceae.
UUACAAUCCAGGCUUCAGAAUCCUUGUGUCUCCAAGCUUGGCCUACAAUAAAAAGAAAGGAAACCGUUCCAACGCCUAAAUUUGAGAAAGUAACGGAGAUUAUUCCCACCAUAACGAAGCAAUACAAGCAAGCAGGCUACACCUAAUCCAAUUCAAUAUGUUGCAGCACCAGCACCAGCACCAGCACCACCACCAGCCUCCGCCCCAGCGACCUCGACGACGGUGCGAGGGCACUGCCAUGGGCGCCAUAGUUCUCGAUCUCCGCCCUGGUCUUGGUAUCGGUCCCUUCUCUCUCGGGAUGCCUAUAUGCGAAGCGUUUGCCCAAAUCGAGCAGCAGCCUAACAUUUACGACGUCGUUCACGUGAAGUAUUAUGAUGAGGAGCCUCUUAAACUUGACAUUGUGAUUAGCUUUCCUGAUCAUGGUUUUCAUCUUCGGUUUGAUCCUUGGUCCCAGAGACUACGCUUGAUUGAAAUUUUUGAUGUUAAACGCCUGCAAAUGCGCUAUGCCACUUCCCUUAUUGGGGGACCGUCCACUCUAGCUACUUUUGUAGCCGUAUAUGCACUCUUUGGGCCAACCUUUCCUGGAAUUUAUGACAAAGAUAGAGGAGUGUACACUCUGUUCUACCCGGGCCUAUCCUUUGCAUUUCCAAUUCCUAGCCAAUAUACAGAUUGCUGCCACGAUGGAGAAGCGGAACUGCCACUGGAGUUUCCAGAUGGCACUACACCAGUAACAUGUCGUGUGUCUAUAUAUGAUAGCUCUACAGAUAAAAAAGUUGGUGUCGGAUCAUUAAUGGACAAGGCUUCUGCUCCUCCACUACCUUCGGGCAGCCUUUACAUGGAAGAGGUGCAUGUUAAGCUUGGUGAAGAGUUAUAUUUUUCCACAGGGGGGCAGCAUAUUCCUUUUGGUGCAUCACCACAGGAUGUUUGGACUGAAUUAGGUCGUCCUUGUGGAAUUCAUCAAAAGCAGGUAGACCAAAUGGUCAUUCACUCUGCUUCAGACCCUCGGCCACGCACAACCCUUUGUGGAGAUUACUUCUAUAACUAUUUCACUCGUGGUUUGGACAUCUUAUUUGAUGGACAGACUCAUAGGAUCAAGAAGUUUGUUUUGCACACAAACUACCCUGGUCAUGCAGAUUUUAAUUCAUAUAUAAAGUGCAACUUUGUUAUUCAAGUAAAUAAUUCAAAACAUAUUACGCCAAGCACGAAGUGGGACCAAGUUAAGGAAAUCCUUGGAGACUGUGGCCGAGCAGCUAUCCAAACACAGGGUUCUACAAGUAAUCCUUUUGGAUCCACAUUUGUUUAUGGUUACCAGAACAUUGCCUUUGAGGUGAUGAAAAAUGGUUAUAUUGCAACUGUAACUCUCUUCCAGUCUUGAUUAUUUUCCUUUCUGUUAAUUCAGUGGAAAGCAGCGCAAGUUGCCACAUCAUCUUCACGUGGGGAUUGGGGGAGCAGUGUUGGAAUUGUGAAUAUUACUGUAUAUUGUUCAUUUGUACAUAUGAUUAAGUACCUAUCUUAUGUAAUUCUUAAUAAAUUAUGCAAGCCUGUACUUCUCA